Molecule: ribosomal RNA, 463 nt
Filed under: uncultured Methanomicrobiales archaeon
Lineage: Archaea; Methanobacteriati; Methanobacteriota; Methanomicrobia; Methanomicrobiales
Description: bacterial SSU rRNA
Rfam family: Archaeal small subunit ribosomal RNA
Source: RNAcentral
GCGCGAAAACUUUACAAUGCGGGAAACCGUGAUAAGGGAACUCCGAGUGUCCGUAAAUGCGGACUGUCCGUAUGUUUAAAAAGCAUGCGAAGAAAGGGCCGGGCAAGACCGGUGCCAGCCGCCGCGGUAAUACCGGCGGCUCGAGUGGUGGCCACUAUUACUGGGCUUAAAGCGUUCGUAGCUGGUCUGUUAAGUCUCUGGGGAAAUCUACUGGCUUAACCAAUAGACGUUUCAGGGAUACUGGCAGACUAGGGACCGGGAGAGGUGAGAGGUACUCCAGGGGUAGGAGUGAAAUCCUGUAAUCCUUGGGGGACCACCUGUGGCGAAGGCGUCUCACCAGAACGGCUCCGACAGUGAGGGACGAAAGCUGGGGGAGCAAACCGGAUUAGAUACCCGGGUAGUCCCAGCCGUAAACGAUGCGCGUUAGGUGUAUCGGUGACCACGAGUCACCGAGGUGCCGAAG